AUGAACGCCAUGAGCUGGAACUGUCGAGGGCUUGGGAACCCUGCGACAGUUCGAGAGCUUCGCAAGCUUGUGAAGCAAGAAGGCCCCACCCUGCUUUUUGUCAUGGAGACAAAGAUCAGGGGAAAACGUGUGGAAGAUUUGAAGUUUACAUUAGGAUUCUCCGGCUGUUAUGCCGUCGAUAGCGAUGGUUUGAGCGGAGGGAUCGGUCUGUUUUGGAAAAAAGAUGUUGAAGUUACUUUGGAGAAUUUCAGCAAGUCGCAUAUUGAUGUCAAGGUCAGCCAAAAUAACAAGACUUGGCGUCUCACUGGCUUCUAUGGAGAGCCAUGA
This 327-nucleotide ribosomal RNA is filed under the name Triticum aestivum (bread wheat). RNAcentral describes it as "partial small subunit ribosomal RNA". The record is from RNAcentral. Lineage: Eukaryota; Viridiplantae; Streptophyta; Magnoliopsida; Poales; Poaceae.